AACGAACGCUGGCGGCAUGCCUAACACAUGCGAGUCGAACGAGACCUUCGGGUCUAGUGGCGCACGGGUGCGUAACGCGUGGGAACCUGCCCUUAGGUUCGGAAUAACUCCCCGAAAGGGGUGCUAAUACCGGAUAAUGUCUUCGGACCAAAGAUUUAUCGCCUUUGGAUGGGCCCGCGUUGGAUUAGCUAGUUGGUAGGGUAAAAGCCUACCAAGGCGACGAUCCAUAGCUGGUCUGAGAGGAUGAUCAGCCACACUGGGACUGAGACACGGCCCAGGCUCCUACGGGAGGCAGCAGUGGGGAAUAUUGGACAAUGGGCGAAAGCCUGAUCCAGCAAUGCCGCGUGAGUGAUGAAGGCCUUAGGGUUGUAAAGCUCUUUUACCCGGGAUGAUAAUGACAGUACCGGGAGAAUAAGCUCCGGCUAACUCCGUG
Molecule: ribosomal RNA, 433 nt
Filed under: uncultured bacterium
Lineage: Bacteria
Description: partial 16S ribosomal RNA
Rfam family: Bacterial small subunit ribosomal RNA
Source: RNAcentral